UAGAGUUUGAUCCUGGCUCAGAUUGAACGCUGGCGGCAGGCCUAACACAUGCAAGUCGAGCGCGAAAACACCUCGGUGUGAGUAGAGCGGCGGACGGGUGAGUAAUGCUUGGGAAUCUACCUAGUAGUGGGGGAUAACGUGUGGAAACGCACGCUAAUACCGCGUACGUCCUACGGGAGAAAGCAGGGGACCUUCGGGCCUUGCGCUAUUAGAUGAGCCCAAGUCGGAUUAGCUAGUUGGUAGGGUAAUGGCUUACCAAGGCGACGAUCCGUAGCUGGUCUGAGAGGAUGAUCAGCCACACUGGGACUGAGACACGGCCCAGACUCCUACGGGAGGCAGCAGUGGGGAAUAUUGCACAAUGGGCGAAAGCCUGAUGCAGCCAUGCCGCGUGUGUGAAGAAGGCUCUAGGGUUGUAAAGCACUUUCAGUAGGGAGGAAAAGUAUGUAGUUAAUAACUGCAUACCCUGACGUUACCUACAGAAGAAGCACCGGCAAACUCCGUGCCAGCAGCCGCGGUAAUACGGAGGGUGCGAGCGUUAAUCGGAAUCACUGGGCGUAAAGCGCGCGUAGGUGGUUUGAUAAGCUAACUGUGAAAGCCCCGGGCUCAACCUGGGAACUGCAGUUAGAACUGUCUGGCUAGUGUACUGUAGAGGGGGGUAGAAUUUCA
RNAcentral lists this ribosomal RNA (666 nucleotides) under uncultured Vibrionaceae bacterium. RNAcentral's name for it is "bacterial SSU rRNA". It matches the Rfam family "Bacterial small subunit ribosomal RNA", at positions 1 to 671 of the family's 1533-position model. Lineage: Bacteria; Pseudomonadati; Pseudomonadota; Gammaproteobacteria; Vibrionales; Vibrionaceae. The record is from RNAcentral.